CAGCAGCCACGGUAAUACAGAGGGUGCAAGCGUUAAUCGGAUUUACUGGGCGUAAAGGGCGCGUAGGUGGUUAUGUAAGUGAGAUGUGAAAUCCCCGGGCUCAACCUGGGAACUGCAUCUUAUACUGCGUAGCUGGAGUGCAGUAGAGGGUAGUGGAAUUUCCAGUGUAGCGGUGAAAUGCGUAGAUAUCGGAAGGAACACCAGUGGCGAAGGCGGCUACCUGGACUGACACUGACACUGAGGCGCGAAAGCGUGGGGAGCAAACAGGAUUAGAUACCCCAGUAGUCCCUGUCUCUUAUAC
This 301-nucleotide ribosomal RNA is filed under the name uncultured bacterium. RNAcentral describes it as "partial 16S ribosomal RNA". It matches the Rfam family "Bacterial small subunit ribosomal RNA", at positions 509 to 807 of the family's 1533-position model. The record is from RNAcentral.